CUUUCGAAUUGGAAUGGACAGAAGUGUGAAAUUUGGAGGUUUCGUUCCAUUUACCAACUACUCUACAUUAAAAAAAAAAUUCAAGUUCUUAGGCAACUCCAACACAAAGAUAUGGAGGUGUGAAAAAUACCCUGAGUUGCUUCCAGAAAAGAAUGGUACGGCCGUGCUGCUCGACUUGGCGGCGGCACUGCCGUGCCUCCAGAUUCUUCAAAAUUAGUUGUAAUAAAAAUAAAAUACCGAUCACCUUUAGAUCCCGAAAACAAUUUACGGCUUCCGUCUCAAAUAUUAAACCAAAUAUGGAAGAAAUUCAUGGAAGCAAUUCAUGAAAGCAU
Molecule: long non-coding RNA, 332 nt
Filed under: Androctonus crassicauda
Lineage: Eukaryota; Metazoa; Arthropoda; Arachnida; Scorpiones; Buthidae
Source: RNAcentral